Molecule: long non-coding RNA, 647 nt
Filed under: Ficedula albicollis (Collared flycatcher)
Lineage: Eukaryota; Metazoa; Chordata; Aves; Passeriformes; Muscicapidae
Description: lncRNA (ENSFALG00000025437.1)
Source: RNAcentral
AUGGGAGUGGGAAUUUUGCUCUCUUGGAUUGUCAGACUGCAGGAUUUUUUUGCUGAGGAGCCCCUAAAUUCCCAUCUCAUGGGAAUUCUCCUUGUCCUUGUGUUUCAGGGUGAACCAGGGGAUUCAGGAAUCAGGGGUCCCCGUGGGAGGAGUGGCCUCAAAGGUGACAGAGGAGACACAGGAGAGCCAGGAAAACCUGGUUUGCCAGGCCCUGUGGGGCUCCAUGGGGUUCCUGGACUGCCUGGACCACAAGGAGAAAAGGGAAUGGCAGGAAUUGGCAUUCCUGGCACUGCUGGCAUGAAGGGGGAGGAAGGAGAGCAGGUGGGCUGAGAUUUGCAUUAAAAUCCUCUCAGAGUGUUCAGCGUCUCCAAAGUCUCCUCCAAUAUUUAGGAUUUCCUUGGGAUCCCGUGGUUCCACAUGGAGAGGGUGAGAGAAGGGAAGAUUUAGGGUUUAAAAUCAGAGAUUUCACUGUUUCCUCUGUUGUUUUCAGGGAAUGAUGGGACCUCCAGGAGCACCAGGACCAAAGGUGGGUGCUGAAAGCCUGAACCCCAGUUGCUGGGCCUGGAAUUCAGGUUCCAAGGAAAUUUUCUGUCCCUAACCAGCAUCAUAAUGAAUCAUCAUAGUAAUUUCUGUGGGAAUUAUUGGAU